Molecule: transfer RNA, 542 nt
Filed under: uncultured Prochlorococcus sp.
Lineage: Bacteria; Bacillati; Cyanobacteriota; Cyanophyceae; Synechococcales; Prochlorococcaceae
Description: partial 16S-23S ribosomal RNA intergenic spacer
Rfam family: tRNA (bases 212-284)
Source: RNAcentral
CAGGGAGACAACAAAAUGUUUAAUAUUAUAAUUUUGUCACCUUAGGUCGAUCGGUAUCUCACGUUUUUAAUUUAUUAAGAAUUUCAUUUCCUAAGUUUUUCUAGGUCACACCCAUUACUUUUCCUGGGCCAUUAGCUCAGGUGGUUAGAGCGCACCCCUGAUAAGGGUGAGGUCCCUGGUUCAAGUCCAGGAUGGCCCAUAUCUCUAUGUUGGGGGUAUAGCUCAGUUGGUAGAGCGCCUGCUUUGCAAGCAGGAUGUCAGCGGUUCGAGUCCGCUUACCUCCACUGAUUCCGACCUCUUGCAUAAUCUGUAGAAAGGAAAUGUUUUGAGUUGUGAUCAAAUUCUGAACGAAUCUAGCCUCCUAAUGAAAUCAUUAAGAUGCUGGACUCAUUGAAUUAUAUUCAUUGUUUUCAGAGAACCUUGACAACUGCAUAGAUUAUUUUUAAAGACAAUAAGCAUCUUAAUAAUGAUGCAGAUUUAUUAUUUGUGCGAAUGCAUUAAUAACAAUUCUAUUAAGCUGAUGCUUCAAUUUUGAAGUUAUU